This is a non-coding RNA of Phascolarctos cinereus (koala), 3574 nucleotides long. Lineage: Eukaryota; Metazoa; Chordata; Mammalia; Diprotodontia; Phascolarctidae. The record is from RefSeq and is a predicted model, not a curated record.
CCAAAAGGCAGAGAAGAGAUUUCCCUUCUAUUGUAGCAAGGGGUUUAAAUUUUGGUCCUUGCCCCCUUUGGUGGAGGCAGUGGGUGAACAGCCAGGUUGUGUAUGACCUAACCCUACCAGAGAAGAUGCAACUGCCUAGAGUUCUAGUCCCACUCAUGGUCUGAUGAAUCUCAUGAAUCUCAUGAAUCUAAUGAAGGAAGUGGGAUUUCCUGUUUCUUGCUCAGAUUUCUCAGCCCUGGUCAGUGACUUAUGGGCCUAAAAGCAAAGAUGUUCCCUACCACUGAAAUGUGAGGUUCAGCGACCCAGCUCUGACUUUCUCCAGAGCAGACAGAGCAGUGGCAGCAGAGAUUUCUGUACCAUUCUGUCUGUGGAAGUACAACAGCCAGGAGACUUAGUCUCAGUGUUUGUUAUUGGCUUAUGGAAUACAGUAAGUUCCAGAGUUGAUUCUCAGCCUUGUCUCUCUCUACUCCUUCCUGAUCAUAUUCCAAUGGCACACUGUUAACAGAUAUUCAUAAGCAUUGUCAGUUGUAAUGCAUAAUACAUCCACUAAACCAAUUUGCUGUUACAUGUGCUAAGUAACACAACCAAAACAUUAAUUAGACUUAGACUUCCCAAUUAUAGCAAUAAAACUUGAUUAUUCAAGAGUGUGCAAACACUAGUCUCUACGUUCUAUUACAAUAAUAGCAUUAACCCCAGUAGGAACAAACCACUAAUCUAAUUUCCUCUAGUUUCCCAAUAAGUAUGUCUUGCAGUGCUGCUCAAUGACAAGGUUCCCUCUCUGCCCAGCCAGAGGCCGUGUGUCUCCCUGCAAGGUGUUUGCCAGGUAAGUGAGCAAAUUUCUGCUGUCAAUUCACAGUGCUCUCAUUGAAUCCAGAGGAUGCUUGAGUCUUAAGAACUGGGAAUGCAGGAGCCAAACUUAAAGGGGAGCCAAAGGUAUGCUGAAGGCUGGGGGCAUUGGUGGCCUUCUUAGAGUUGUACCUAUGGGCAUUAGCUGGUUACACCAAAUUCUGCUUGGUGUCCAGUGAUGUUAUUUGGCUACCAGUUAAUUUGAUUGAUACCUGGCAAAAUAAGGUCAUGACAAGGUUAUUUUAAAAAUGUCCCUUAGUGGCCUGUCCUGCCAGGGAGGGGAGAUCCCAUAUUUUUAACUGUAGAUAAUGGAAACAGGCCUAAUGCAAAAUGAAAUCAGUUGUGUCAAGGCAAAAAAAAAAUAUUUUGACUGUAGUGCCUGACUUCAUCUCUAUACAGUCAUUCAAUGAUAGAUGUAAUUGGGGUUUCAUGAUGCAUACAACUAAAGCUCCAAGUGUUUUUAGUAUAAAAUAAGUAGACAGGAUCUGAGGUCUGAAUGAGACUUCCAGGUCUGCUGAGAACAAAAUCAGAGAUAUGACCACUGUAUUUAAUUUUCCUCCAACUUGUUUUUCUUGUUUUUUAUGCCUUUUCAUUUCCCUCAUUCCUGCAUGUGUUGAAUGGAAGGAGGAAAAAUAGACAUUGCAAGUAGCAAAGGAUAUCCUAGGUCAGGGUUGGAGUCGGGGGUCAACCAGAGAUCAAUUUCUCUACUUAUUUGUCUGUGAAUCCCUUAAGGUUAACUUGAUUUUUCCAUUUAUGGGUCUUAGCAUUAUUCUAGUGAAGAGUUCAACAAUCUCCCUCUUCUAGACACAUUUCAUUUUGAAAAGCUCAUUGUUAUUUCAGAAAAGUGAGUUUCCAGAAUUGCAUUUGCUUAAGAAAUGUAUAGAGGUUGGGGGGUGGGGGCAUCAGUCAGGGCAACCCCGGACUGGUGCUUCCUGAUGAGCCAAUGAAAUGGUUCCACUGCCCUCCUGAGGCAUCUUUCUUUGCAAGUGCUCCUAUGCAUCUGUACCAGUAAAAAGAAUAACUUGCUUCUAUAAAGAAAGCUAUAAAUUUUGGGUCACUUUGGAGAUUCUGAGCAAACUGUGAGAUUAGUAAUUUUCUUAUCCUGAUAUUACAGGGGAGAGACCAGAGGAUAACACAGGAUAAGUAACUUGGUUACCUUAACAGGUCUGGUAAGUAGAUGAGUUGGGAGGUAAAGUCCAGGCUUCCUGACCCUGCAGGUCAGAUUGUGACCACCAAGCUAUUUGGAAUGCUGCCUGUCAAACAUCAUUUUUCUUUCCCUGCCACAUAUGUAUUUAUUCUUGCCUUGCUCGACUUACCUAAAAAUUCAUGGUCCACAUAGCCUAGAACUAUAGGCCUUUUCAAAGGCUCUCUAUUUGGAAGCCCCUUAUCAGACAACUGAGAAAAGUGAGGCCCUCGGGUUUUCCAGGGCCUAAUCAAAAGAAUGUGUCUGAUGUAUGCAUUAGGUCCUCUACUUGGCUGAUUCCAGAUGCUGGCCACUGGACACUACCAUAAGUGUGUCUCUACCUCAGUCUGAUUUGAUUCUCCCUUGUCAUUUCCCUUCACUUGAGUCCAUCAAAUGGAAUCAGCAGGACAAAAUAUUUCAAGUAGUUGGAAUGCCAGACACCUGGGACAAUGUAUAGAGUGAUCCAUGCUGUCAGUCUUACCAUUUCUUUUCCUCAAAGUCCUUGAGGCUUCACCUCAGUUCAGCUUUUCUCAUUCCUAGGAUGGAGAUACCCUGGAAGAUUUGGAAAGUGGCCCUCUGGUUCACAGAUGUUCUUAUACAACCAUUCCUCUUCCUUUCUAAAUGAUUAUUCCCAGGAAGAGCUGAGCAAUCUUCCCAUUGUGGAUAAAUUUCAUUUUGACAAGGUCACUGUUUCUUUUCAAAGGGGGGAGAAAUGGAUGAAGGUUGCCAUUGGGGGUGUUGUUUGGCCUUGCCUAAGAGCUCUUCCAUAAUGUAAUGGACAGAUUCCAUUCUUAUGUUCCAGAAAGGAAGAAGGAAAGGUAAAAGGCUCACUAGGAAGAAGCAGGAAUCUCUGCAAGUGCCUUGGAACCAGAGAAGCAAAUCCAUUGGAAAGAGGUCACUUCAGAGCUGCCCUGGGAAUGAGGCCUAUUCCUGAAGGUCCAAGGGAAGAUGUUGCCAGGGACCAGACAACUACAUGCAACACCUGGGACUCAAGAUGAAAUGCGCUGAUUAACUGAACAUUGGGAGUGGGUUAUAAUGAGAACUGAUGUUAUUUAAUUUUGAUGAUCAUAAUUUAUUUACUUUGGUCUUUUGUUUCAUGGUAUUUAUGUUUACUGAGUUUUCUUUGUUUAUAUGUAAAUCUCCUCUCUAAAAUUAAUACAUGAGGAACCUCUAAAUGGCUUGAUGUAUAACCUGCCUUAGUUUACAUAUAGAGCUUAUUUAACAAAGUUUGUCUCCAUGGGGGAUACAUGAGAUUAUGAUUCUGUACCUAAGUUUAUUCAACUUUAUGACAUUGAUGGAAACAUGGGAUUAUGAUUUGUGAUGAUCAUGGCCCCAGUACACUUGUUUCCAAUUGUAAGUUUAAGUAUCCUAGCUCAUAACCACUGAUGCUUGCUCAGAUUGAUUUGGCAUGACCAGCAAAGAGUAGGAUGAUGUAGUUAAGGAUAAAACAGUGAGAUGGAACCAGUUGGGGUGCUGUGCUAGAUAAAUAGAUAGAUAGAUAUAGAUAUGUAAAUGUAUGUGUGUAUGUAUGUAUAUAUAUAUAUA